CGGGGAGUAGCGCAGCCUGGUAGCGCACCUGCCUUGGGAGCAGGGGGUCGCAGGUUCGAAUCCUGUCUCCCCGACCA
This 77-nucleotide transfer RNA is filed under the name Desulfuromonas sp. RNAcentral's name for it is "tRNA-Pro". It matches the Rfam family "tRNA". From Rfam's summary of the family: Transfer RNA (tRNA) molecules are approximately 80 nucleotides in length. The record is from RNAcentral. Lineage: Bacteria; Pseudomonadati; Thermodesulfobacteriota; Desulfuromonadia; Desulfuromonadales; Desulfuromonadaceae.